Molecule: RNA transcript, 962 nt
Organism: Cucurbita maxima (winter squash)
Lineage: Eukaryota; Viridiplantae; Streptophyta; Magnoliopsida; Cucurbitales; Cucurbitaceae
Gene name: phytosulfokines-like
Exons: 4
Source: RefSeq, a predicted model, not a curated record
UAGAGCUUCCAAAUCCAUAGCAGCCCAGCCGCUGGGCAGCUCCACGAGCUCAUCUCUCUAGGAAACUUCGCCCAUGGCACCAAAUUCUCUGCCCGGAGGUUUAAAUCUCCAAUUUAUUCGCGCACUUCCUUCAAUCCUGAUUCACGGCGCUGUAUCAUUCUCCAUUCGUACUUUCUUCGCUCGGGGAAAUAUUUGAGGAGUACAUUGCACAACUGAAAGAACGCACAAAAGAAACCGAAACUAAGCGAAAGGAGGAAAAGGUUUAUAUUUAACUUUAAGCAUAGAUAUUCAAUGAUGAUAACUUUUUUUAUGAGGGGAAAAAACUCAUGAGUAUAAAAUCCAUGCUGGUUACUUUUGGCUUGAAGUUCCAAUUUUGCCCUUCCACAAUCCCUUUAUAUUCAUUUCCAGUCCUUCUUCUUCCCCAUUUCUCUCAUAUGGCUCCCAAACUCUUAACCUCCAUCUUCACAUUUCUCUUCCUUUUCUUCUCCUUUGUCUCCUCGGUAACCACCAUUGGCGCUCGGCCUGUGCCUGUGCCUGGCUUUUCAAACGCUUUUCCCGGGACUUCUCGAGACGAGUUGAAGGCUGGGGAUGAUGCUUUGGAGGAGGAGAGUUGUGAAGAAAUUGGAGAAGAAUAUUGCUUGAUGAGGAAAACUCUUGCAGCCCAUGCUGAUUAUAUCUACACAGAUAGCCAGAGGAAGCCAUGAGAUUAUUUACAUAGAAUUAGUGACAAAAGGAAGAGAUUCUUCUGUAAGUUUGGGAAAUUAUAUUAGUGUAAUUAUGUUUAAUUUUUGACUAAUUGUUAACUUUUAUAUAAUCCAGGUUAAAGGAACUAGAUUUACUAAGUUUCUUCGGGUCACGAUAUCAUAAUUAUGUAUCAUAAUUUGAUUAGCCUAAAGUAAUCAUUUCUAAGUAUUCACAUUACCUAUCAUGGAUUGAAAAUCUUUCGGUAUGUCGAGAGGACA